This 1134-nucleotide unclassified non-coding RNA is filed under the name Leishmania donovani. RNAcentral describes it as "gene:LdHU3.25.2970(CDS-product:adenylate_kinase_p utative)". The record is from RNAcentral. Lineage: Eukaryota; Euglenozoa; Kinetoplastea; Trypanosomatida; Trypanosomatidae.
AUUCGGCGCAUCAGCAACAACGAGCGCCUUCCUUUCCGCCACAACCGCCACAGGCGCCAGCCUACGUAGUUACUGCGGUGCAUAGACUUCAGGGUCGAGCUGCACUACGCGCACACAGGGCUGUAUGCUGUUGUCUUUUGCUUGCGCGCAGCUGCGGACGGCCUUCUCUACAUGCCGAGCAAGUUCCUGCGGCUGCUGUUCGUAGGUGCGCCGGGUGUGGGGAAGGGGACUUAUUCCGGUCGCGCGGCCGUGUCGCUGGGCUGCCACGCCGUCUCCAGCGGAGACCUUCUGCGGAAGGAGGUUGCUGAGGGCACGGCGAUCGGCAAGCAGGUGAAGGAGCUGAUUGAGAAGGGCGUCUUUGUUCCCGAUGAGAUCAUCACAAAGAUGGUGGCGCAGCACAUAGCGUCGCUGUCGGCGGACAAGGAGCGACCAAACGGGUACAUUUUGGACGGGUACCCGCGCAACAUCUCGCAGGCAACAGCACUGUGGUCGUCAGGGGAGAUCAAGAUCGACCACGUCAUCAACCUCACUCAACCGCGUAACGUGAUCAUCAAGAAGCUCUCGUCGCGCCGAUCUUGCCCGGACUGCGGGUUUGUGUACAACCUGGCCUCUAUCGACGAGGGAGGGAUCAAGAUGGACCCCCUCAAGCCCAAGCUGGAUGGCGUGUGCGACAAGUGCGGCUGCACAAAACCUCUCAUCACCCGAAAGGACGAUGACAUCGAUGUCGUGACAACGCGCCAGGAUGCGUACAGCGCCGUCGCAACGCCACUCCUGCGCUUUUACAAGGAGAAGGGUAUCCUGCACGAGUUUCCGGUACUAGGCGGCACAAAACUAUACUUGCCGAAGCUGCUCGAACUGAUCUCGACGUUGGAUUAGUGUGCUUGUCGCGUUUCUCUCUUUCAUCGCACGAGGUCUUCUCGCUCUCUCUCUCUCUCCGUCGUGUGUGCGUGUGUGUGCGGUUUCGUGCAGGCGCUUCGUUUCAAAAUGCGAGCGCCGCUUCCGUUGUUCUUGGAAUCUGCUCGUCUCUCCUCUCCGUCCUCAUCGGCCUCUCUCCGGUGUUCUCUCCCUCCCUCCUCUACCCUGUUUCGACUCGAAGCUGGUGUUCGCCCUCAUCUCAAGGACAUCGCCACCCAG